Molecule: ribosomal RNA, 493 nt
Filed under: uncultured bacterium
Lineage: Bacteria
Description: bacterial SSU rRNA
Rfam family: Bacterial small subunit ribosomal RNA
Source: RNAcentral
GACGAACGCUGGCGGCGUGCUUAACACAUGCAAGUCGAGCGGUAAGGCCCUUCGGGGUACACGAGCGGCGAACGGGUGAGUAACACGUGGGUGACCUGCCCUCCACUUCGGGAUAAGCCUGGGAAACUGGGUCUAAUACCGGAUAGGACCUCCUGGUGCAUGCCGGGUGGUGGAAAGUUUUUUCGGUGGGGGAUGGGCCCGCGUCUAUCAGCUUGAUGGUGGGGUGAUGGCCUACCAAGGCGACGACGGAUAGCCGGCCUGAGAGGGUGAUCGGCCACACUGGGACUGAGACACGGCCCAGACUCCUACGGGAGGCAGCAGUGGGGAAUCUUGCGCAAUGGGCGGAAGCCUGACGCAGCAACGCCGCGUGAGGGAUGACGGCCUUCGGGUUGUAAACCUCUUUCGCGAUCGACGAAGGUCCAUCUUGCUGGUGGGCUGACGGUAGGUCGAGAAGAAGCACCGGCCAACUACGUGCCAGCCGCCGCCGUAAUAC